UGCAUGUUUCAUUUUCUCCAUUGUUUUCUCUGCUUCACUGAGCUUAAGGUCAGAACGGAUGCAGAAUACUUGGAACCUGGUGAAGGAAGCAUGAAAGACUAAUUUAGAGCAUCAAGAGAUUCGGUUAAGAGCAAACUAUCAGAGGGAGAGGAAUGUGUGUCAAAUUAGUGUUAGCACUUUAAAAUUGAUACCUUUCUUUCUAUUGGAUAAUAAAAUUUGCUAACAAAACAAGUACUUGAUACAGAAUUUAACAGAGGUUAAGCUCCAGCCUAAAUAAAGAGCAUCAUCUGCAUCACGAAGUAAGGUCACCUAUAUUUUUCCUUUUUGACAACUCUCACACAACAAAGCAAUUACAUUGAAAUAUAACUAAGUUUAUGCUUGGUUGGCAUGUAUUGGUUUUCAUAAGAAUAAUUGUCAUCAUUUUUCAUGUUUAAGAAUGUAAUAUGUCGUGGUUGUUUCAGAUUCAAUCCGAGUCAUCUGCCACAAGUUGGAGUUCAAAAAAACAUAAAGCCAAUUAACAAGAUAUGUAAACUCGUCCAAACUCAAUGUGGAAAUAGAACGAAGGAGAUGUAGAACAACAACAACAACAACAUACCCAUUGCAGCCCCCACAAGUGGGGUCUGGGGAGGGUAGUGUGUACGCAGACCUUACCCUUAACUUUAAGAAGGCAGAGAGGCAUCGAAGGAGAUGUAGAAGAACACCACAGUUAAGCAAGCAAAAACCAGGGAAAAAGCACUCAGCAAUGUAGCCUUAGCAGCACAUAUUGAAAAAGAAAAGCAGAAAAUUUUUGAAAAAGAAAAGCCAAAUAUUACCAAGCAAUUUUCUCCAACUAAGUAGACAACAAAAUAUGGUAAGGAAUUUUGGAGAUAUUAUUAGUUGUUGGCACUUGGCAAAAGAAAAUUACACUUGCUCUCAUCCUUGAAACACCCAAUUAGAGUAAUUAAGAACUUGUUGGAGACAACACUAGAAAACCCCAUCUGACUUUUUACCUCAAAAACUUGUAAACAUACAUCAUAGUCUUAAGAUAAAGAAUUGAAAAUGCAAGUACUUUGAAACCAAAAUUCAGAACAAAAUCGUUGAAAAGGGUAAAAAGAUCACAAUGCACAGAUCCAAAGACAGAACUAACAGUCACAAAACUUGCACACACAAAAGGUAGAGAUAAAGACAAGACACUCAAAAAAUAGAAAGAGGAGAGAUGAAACAACACCAACUUCCCAAUACAGCAAAUAUACACAAGCAAAGAUGCAACAACGAGAGGAUAAAACAUAUAAAAAGAGGACCUUUACAAGAGAAAUCCACUAAGAUUGUCAUCAGAAAUAAGACAAUGAACAGAAUUUCAAGAAAUUACCAAAGAUCAAGUCUUUUUCAAAAUGCUCAGCUUCAGAACAAAAAAAAAAACCAGCAAGAUGUAUCUCAUUCAACGCUAGCUCCAGCUCCUAGCUAACACCAAAGAAAUCCAAGAAACCCCAUCAACCAGAAAGAGGAGAUAGCUCAAA
Molecule: long non-coding RNA, 1496 nt
Filed under: Nicotiana tabacum (common tobacco)
Lineage: Eukaryota; Viridiplantae; Streptophyta; Magnoliopsida; Solanales; Solanaceae
Description: long non-coding RNA (NTAB_LNC018170)
Source: RNAcentral